GUUAAGAUGGAUGUCUAGUAUUAUGAUAAUGGAUAAAAUUAAGAACAAUCACAUUCAUCAGAGAGUGAAAGUAUCACACAUUGGGGAUAAAAUGAGAGAAGGUCAAUUAAGAUGAUUUGGAGGUGUGAAUGUUGGAAAGAGUGAGAAGGGAAAGGAGGAGAUUGAAAAUGAUAUGGAGGGAAGUAGUAUCAGAAGAUAUACGAUUUUUUAAUAUUGAUGUGAAAUUAGUUUCAAAAAAAGCUAAAUGGUGAAAAAGAGUCAAUAUAUCCGACCACAACUAGUUUCAAAUUAAAACUUAGUUGUUGUUGUUG
This 311-nucleotide unclassified non-coding RNA is filed under the name Hevea brasiliensis (rubber tree). The record is from RNAcentral. Lineage: Eukaryota; Viridiplantae; Streptophyta; Magnoliopsida; Malpighiales; Euphorbiaceae.